This 548-nucleotide ribosomal RNA is filed under the name uncultured bacterium. RNAcentral's name for it is "bacterial SSU rRNA". It matches the Rfam family "Bacterial small subunit ribosomal RNA", at positions 355 to 895 of the family's 1533-position model. The record is from RNAcentral.
UAGGGAAUCUUCCGCAAUGGGCGAAAGUCUGACGGAGCAACGCCGCGUGAGUGAUGACGGUCUUCGGAUCGUAAAACUCUGUUAUUAGGGAAGAACAAACGUGUAAGUAACUGUGCACGUCUUGACGGUACCUAAUCAGAAAGCCACGGCUAACUACGUGCCAGCAGCCGCGGUAAUACGUAGGUGGCAAGCGUUAUCCGGAAUUAUUGGGCGUAAAGCGCGCGUAGGCGGUUUUUUAAGUCUGAUGUGAAAGCCCACGGCUCAACCGUGGAGGGUCAUUGGAAACUGGAAAACUUGAGUGCAGAAGAGGAAAGUGGAAUUCCAUGUGUAGCGGUGAAAUGCGCAGAGAUAUGGAGGAACACCAGUGGCGAAGGCGACUUUCUGGUCUGUAACUGACGCUGAUGUGCGAAAGCGUGGGGAUCAAACAGGAUUAGAUACCCUGGUAGUCCACGCCGUAACGAUGAGUGCUAAGUGUUAGGGGGUUUCCGCCCCUUAGUGCUGCAGCUAACGCAUUAAGCACUCCGCCUGGGGAGUACGACCGCAAGGUU